GCCCUGUGUACUUUAGUGGCGGACGGGUGAGUGACACGUGAGAAUUUACCUUUAGGAGGGGAAUAACAGUUGGAAACGACUGCUAAUGUCGCAUAUCAUAACUAUGAAAGAAGAAAUUCGCCUAAAGAAAAGCUUGCGUCUGAUUAGCUAGUUGGUAAGGGUAAAGGCCUACCAAGGCGACGAUCAGUAGCUGGUUUGAGAGGACGACCAGUCACACUGGAACUGAGACACGGUCCAGACUCCUACGGGAGGCAGCAGUGGGGAAUUUUCUGCAAUGGGCGAAAGCCUGACAGAGCAAUACCGCGUGAGGGAAGAAAGCCCACAAGGUUGUAAACCUCUUUUGUCAAGGAAGAAGUUCUGACGUUACUUGACGAAUAAGCAUCGGCUAACUCCGUGCCAGCAGCCGCGGUAAGACGGGGGAUGCAAGUGUUAUCCGGAAUCACUGGGCGUAAAGCGUUUGUAGGUGGUUUAGUAAGUCUAUUAUUAAAGCUUGAAGCUUAACUUCAAAAGUGUAAUAGAAACUACUAGACUAGAGGAUAGUAGGGGUAAAGGGAAUUUCCAGUGGAGCGGUGAAAUGCGUAGAGAUUGGAAGGACCACCGAUGGCGAAGGCACUUUACUGGGCUAUUUCUGACACUAAGAGACGAAAGC
This 649-nucleotide ribosomal RNA is filed under the name uncultured bacterium. Its description in RNAcentral is "bacterial SSU rRNA". It matches the Rfam family "Bacterial small subunit ribosomal RNA", at positions 80 to 760 of the family's 1533-position model. The record is from RNAcentral.